RNAcentral lists this ribosomal RNA (582 nucleotides) under uncultured bacterium. RNAcentral's name for it is "bacterial SSU rRNA". It matches the Rfam family "Bacterial small subunit ribosomal RNA", at positions 338 to 916 of the family's 1533-position model. The record is from RNAcentral.
CCUACGGGAGGCAGCAGUAGGGAAUAUUGGGCAAUGGACGCAAGUCUGACCCAGCCAUGCCGCGUGCAGGAUGAAGGCGUUAUGCGUCGUAAACUGCUUUUAUACAGGAAGAAACGACUCUUGCGAGAGGCAUUGACGGUACUGUAUGAAUAAGCACCGGCUAACUCCGUGCCAGCAGCCGCGGUAAUACGGAGGGUGCAAGCGUUGUCCGGAUUUAUUGGGUUUAAAGGGUGCGCAGGUGGUUUAUUAAGUCAGUGGUGAAAGACGGUCGCUCAACGAUUGCAGUGCCAUUGAAACUAGUAGACUUGAGUAAAGUAGAGGUGGGCGGAAUUGAUAGUGUAGCGGUGAAAUGCAUAGAUAUUAUCAAGAACUCCAAUUGCGAAGGCAGCUCACUUGGCUUUUACUGACACUCAUGCACGAAAGUGUGGGUAUCAAACAGGAUUAGAUACCCUGGUAGUCCACACUGUAAACGAUGAUAACUAGGUGUCGGCCGAAUCUGGUCGGUGCCACAGCGAAAGCGUUAAAGUUAAUCCACCUUGGGGAGUACGCCGGCAACGGUUGAAACUUCAAAGGAAUUGACGG